RNAcentral lists this transfer RNA (516 nucleotides) under uncultured bacterium. RNAcentral describes it as "16S-23S intergenic spacer". The stretch from base 230 to 303 matches the Rfam family "tRNA". The record is from RNAcentral.
UUAUUUUUUUUAAUUCUCGACCCCGGUGCUCGCAUCGGAAUGAAUUGAAGAAAUAGGUCGAUCCCUUGGGUUUCAUAAAGGCACUCACUCGCUUGCGUUUAAAAUUUUCGAAUGUCGAACCGCGGUUCCGUUUCGUUUCCAAAAUGCUGGGGCUGUAGCUCAGCUGGGAGAGCGCCUGCUUUGCAAGCAGGAGGUCGUCGGUUCGAUCCCGAUCAGCUCCAACCACAUCGGACCCAUAGCUCAGCUGGUUAGAGCGUACGCUUGAUAAGCGUAAGGUCGGUGGUUCGAUCCCACCUGGGUCCAGUGUACACACACUUGGUGUCUAAAUCGAUUUUGUUGGUCUUUGACAUAAUGUCUUUAUGUUUUGUUCAUUCUCCAAAAGCCGUCCGGUCUGCGAAAGCGGAGUAGGAUACCUUGAAGGAGAUCAGUUGAACGAAGCAAUAACUAAAUGGGAAAAAAUAAGCGUCUUAAGGAAAACACACGCUUUAAACCGGCGUGUGUUUUAUUCAUUAAUGC